This 639-nucleotide long non-coding RNA is filed under the name Sitophilus oryzae (rice weevil). RNAcentral's name for it is "uncharacterized LOC115885031". The record is from RNAcentral. Lineage: Eukaryota; Metazoa; Arthropoda; Insecta; Coleoptera; Curculionidae.
CAUAAUUGUUGAUACUUCUGGUGGAUGAUGUUCAAUUUAUACAUAUAUAAAUUAUAAACAAACCAAAUUGAAGUACUAGAAGCAAUAAGAGUAUCUGUUCCUGUGUAUUUCCAAGUUUCUGUUUUCCAAGAAGCAUAUUAAUUAAAUGAACAAAACUGUGUCCAAGAAAUAAUCUAUUGCAUAGAGGAUUUAAUCAAGACAAAAUUGGUGAUGCUGUAAUCACAAAGUUCCAUGCAGGAAUCAAUGGUUAUUGCUAAAAUAUGUUAUUGGUGUAUUGUCAAUUUUAUUUACUUAUAUAUUACGUUAUUUAAUCUCAAUAAUUUUAGGCUGGAAAUAAUAUACACUUUGGAACAAUUGAAGUAAAUAAAUGAAUUAAUAUAAUACAUACAUUACAUACAAAGAAGUAAUGUAUAAUUUUGGAAAAAGCUGUAUUAAUCACUUUCGAAAAUCAUAAUUGUUUUUUUUUAGUAAGACGCAGAACUUAGACAAAUAAUUUAGGUUUGUUAUUAUUUAAAUGUAAUAAGUACAGAUUUAGACUCUUGAACCAGGCAUAGUAUAUUGAUUAGUAGGGUCCACAGUAAAAAAUAUUUUGUAAUACCAUUCGAAAGAAAAUACAGACCUAUAUUAUACUGUUUAUAA